Molecule: long non-coding RNA, 1608 nt
Organism: Ictalurus punctatus (channel catfish)
Lineage: Eukaryota; Metazoa; Chordata; Actinopteri; Siluriformes; Ictaluridae
Source: Ensembl
GUAAUAGGACAUUGAGGUAAAUCAGAUAUUGAGAUAUUAGGAUAUUGAGGUAAAUAGGACAUUGAGGUAAAUCAGAUAUUGAGAUAUUAGGACACUGAGGUAAAUCAGAUAUUGAGGUAAAUAGGACAUUGAGGUAAAUCAGAUAUUGAGAUAUUAGGACACUGAGGUAAAUCAGAUAUUGAGGUAAAUAGGACAUUGAGGUAAAUCAGAUGCUGAGAUAAAUCAGAUAUUGAGAUAAUAGAACACUAAUCUAAAUUGGACAUUGAGGUAAAUAUGACACUGCGAUAAAUUGGACAUUGAGGUAAAUCAGAUAUCGAGAUAAAUAAGACAGGUAAAUUGGGCAUUGAGGCAAAGAGAAGACUGAGGUAAAUCAGGAAUUAAGGUAAAUUGGACAGUGAGAUAAAUCAGACAUCGUGAACAUUUCAUUUUUGACUGAACUUCACCAUGCUAAAACAUUUACUCACAAUAAGGAGGUCAUUAGCAUUAGCUGGUUUAGCCUCUCAGCUGAGUGAAUCCUCUACUAAGAAUAAUUUCAGCUUAUUUACUGAAGUCUUGUACUAAAUAUAAUCUACAUUAUUGUGGGAUCAUGAAAAACAGUCGUGUAACCAGUGUAGUGACACACCUGAGCUGUAACCCACCUCUGUUCUGACUUCCUCGCUACGCCACCGCUAGACAUGUGCCGAUAGUCUGCUAUAUUGUCAUUUUUUACAUAUAUAAUAUUGUUAGCAUCGAUACCUCAAAAUAUUAUCACUCCCCUUUGCAUUCAGUUUGCGAAUAUGGUGCCUUAGUGGGGCUACAUUGUUGUUUUUUCCCCCCAAAAACAAUAUCUGUCGCAUCCUGUAGGUAGCAUGAGGAGAAACUAGUUAACGGUCGAUGCUAAGUGUUAUUUAUCACCACAUCUGAGGUAAAUGUUGAUGUUUCACAUAAUACUGUCUUGUUUCCACCGUCACUGUGUCUUUACAUUGUCCAUAUUUUGAGUACUUAAUGGUUAGGUAAGUCAUUAGCCUUGUUUUCAGCUAAAUAACUAUGUUAUAAUUCAGUGUUCAUGCUGCUUACUUACUUAGCAACAGAGGUCUAUUGAAUUUUACCAUUUGGAUGUCAAGUGUGUAUUUAACUUCCUACAUGGAACACACUAAUAUAAUCUAUUACCGUUCCUAACAUUUCAUUAUGAUUAAAAGUCAUAUUAGUGUUUGUAGACCAUAUGUUGUUCCCAGGAUAAAAUUUGUAACUAGCAAAUGCAAUAUUAACACACAGUUAACAUAUGGAACUUUCUAGAUCGCGAUAGUUAGCUAGCUAGUUAUGACAGUCACUAACUAUUUUUUUUUAAUAGCUAGUGAACGAUUGUGUCCCUGUAGCGCAAACGUCGCAUAUUUCAGUAAACAAUAUUGCAGUUGUAUGAAAACAUCGGCCCAUGCCUAGCCCGAACGCAGUGUGUUAUUAAUCACAGCAAAAAUCAGUUCUAUGCUGUUAAAUCAAGUCGCUAACUGUGGGUUCGGUUAUUGUUAUCGUUUCUGUGUACGUUUGUAUAACACGUCUCUGUGUCUAACUGGUGUGUGUGUGUGUGUGUGUGUGUGUGUGUGUGUUCGAAAAUUGUGAAUUAAACAAUAA